RNAcentral lists this ribosomal RNA (502 nucleotides) under uncultured bacterium. Its description in RNAcentral is "partial 16S ribosomal RNA". It matches the Rfam family "Bacterial small subunit ribosomal RNA", at positions 30 to 523 of the family's 1533-position model. The record is from RNAcentral.
AUUGAACGCUGGCGGAACGCUUUACACAUGCAAGUCGAACGGCAGCACGGGUGCUUGCACCUGGUGGCGAGUGGCGAACGGGUGAGUAAUACAUCGGAACGUACCCAGUUGUGGGGGAUAACUAACCGAAAGGUUAGCUAAUACCGCAUACGACCUGAGGGUGAAAGCGGGGGAGCGUAAGGCCUCGCGCAAUUGGAGCGGCCGAUGUCUGAUUAGCUAGUUGGGAGGGUAAAGGCCUGCCGAGGCGACGAUCAGUAGCUGGUCUGAGAGGAUGAUCAGCCACACUGGAACUGGGACACGGUCCAGACUCCUACGGGAGGCAGCAGUGGGGAAUUUUGGACAAUGGGCGAAAGCCUGAUCCAGCCAUUCCGCGUGAGUGAAGAAGGCCUUCGGGUUGUAAAGCUCUUUCGGCAGGGAAGAAACGGCCUAGGUUAAUACCUUGGGCUAAUGACGGUACCUGAAGAAGAAGCACCGGCUAACUACGUGCCAGCAGCCGCCGUAA